UACGAAGGGGGCUAGCGUUGCUCGGAAUCACUGGGCGUAAAGCGCACGUAGGCGGAUCUUUAAGUCAGGGGUGAAAUCCCAAGGCUCAACCUUGGAACUGCCUUUGAUACUGGGGAUCUCGAGUCCGGAAGAGGUGAGUGGAACUGCGAGUGUAGAGGUGAAAUUCGUAGAUAUUCGCAAGAACACCAGUGGCGAAGGCGGCUCACUGGUCCGGUACUGAUGCUGAGGUGCGAAAGCGUGGGGAGCGAACAGG
RNAcentral lists this ribosomal RNA (253 nucleotides) under uncultured bacterium. RNAcentral's name for it is "partial 16S ribosomal RNA". It matches the Rfam family "Bacterial small subunit ribosomal RNA", at positions 524 to 776 of the family's 1533-position model. The record is from RNAcentral.